ACGGGAUUCAUUUUCCAGAUUUGCUAACUUUCGAAAUCAAUUCAUUUGACCAACCAAAUCAUGUUAUUUUUCAAUGAAAUUUUGUACACACUUACAAUAAUAGAUAAACAACAUAAUAAAUUCAUUAGAAUCUCAAAAUCUGGCACGAAAACGGUCGGACAAGGCAGGGGUAAAACGGUCACUUUUGCUCCAAGCACCUCCUUUGAUUUUCUACCAACAAUACAACAUUAAUCUACUAAUAUAAGCACUAAACCACCAUUAAUUUCAUCAUCCAACAUCAAAUCAGCAACAACCCAAGAGUGGGAGUUCAUAGAGCCCACUUUCACAUUUUAUACCAUAAACAAGACUACCCACAUGAUUAUAUAACCUUAUAUGUGCAAUAAAUCUUACAAAAACUAAGAUCUAUGGGUUGGAUGAUUUGCUACCUUCUUGGAUGAUUAGAUCAGAAAUUUUGGUCACUCUUUGCUCCAGAAAACCGUGGCUUUUCAGCUCCCUUUUGCAGCUCAAAAUACUCCUCAAGUGUUAAGCUAAGUGUAGUUCGAAUUUGGAGUGAAUUGGAAGAGGUUUGGUGAAGAUUUGAUGGAGGAAUUGGAAGAACUCUUGAGCUGUUUUUCUUGCUUUGUUGUUCGGCCAGAUGAGGGAGCAAGAGAGAGAAAUUGUGGUCUGAAAUGAGGCUUCCAAAGGAAGCUUAAUGACUAAG
This 700-nucleotide long non-coding RNA is filed under the name Coffea arabica (coffee). RNAcentral's name for it is "long non-coding RNA (CARA_LNC006276)". The record is from RNAcentral. Lineage: Eukaryota; Viridiplantae; Streptophyta; Magnoliopsida; Gentianales; Rubiaceae.